GGCAAGAGGCAAGUAAUCAUUUUCUUUUUUUUCUAGAAAUAUGCAUCACGGCUGAUUUAUGGUCCCACGGCGAUGGUGACCCCUAUCAUUAGGGAAGGCCAUACCGGCGGUUAUGUUGGGUUUAGGGCUGGUGGUGAUAGGGGUUUGAAGUAGACAUGGUUCCCCUAAAUGGAUCUUAUUUAAGCAGCAACUGCAAGGUGAACUAGCAGACAAUUUU
RNAcentral lists this long non-coding RNA (217 nucleotides) under Setaria italica (foxtail millet). RNAcentral's name for it is "long non-coding RNA (SITA_LNC005688)". The record is from RNAcentral. Lineage: Eukaryota; Viridiplantae; Streptophyta; Magnoliopsida; Poales; Poaceae.